Molecule: ribosomal RNA, 256 nt
Filed under: uncultured bacterium
Lineage: Bacteria
Description: partial 16S ribosomal RNA
Rfam family: Bacterial small subunit ribosomal RNA
Source: RNAcentral
GACGUAGGUGGCGAACGUUAUCCGGAAUUAUUGGGCGUAAAGGGUGCGUAGAUGGCCUGAUAAGUUAGCAGUGGGAAAUCGAGGCCCAACCUCGUGGAAGCUGGUAAUACUGUCAGGCUCGAGUGCAGGAGAGGUUAACGGAACUCCAUGUGGAGCGGUAAAAUGUGUAGAUAUAUGGAAGAACAUCAAUAACGGCGAAGGCAGUUAACUAUUCUGUUACUGACGUUGAGGCACGGAAGCGUGGGGAGCAAAACGG